UGCCAGCAGCCGCGGUAAUACGGAGGGUCCGAGCGUUAAUCGGAAUUACUGGGCGUAAAGCGUACGCAGGCGGUUUGUUAAGCGAGAUGUGAAAGCCCCGGGCUCAACCUGGGAACUGCAUUUCGAACUGACAAACUAGAGUUUUGUAGAGGGUGGUAGAAUUUCAGGUGUAGCGGUGAAAUGCGUAGAGAUCUGAAGGAAUACCAGUGGCGAAGGCGGCCACCUGGACAAUAACUGACGCUCAUGUACGAAAGCGUGGGGAGCAAACGGGAUUAGAUA
This 279-nucleotide ribosomal RNA is filed under the name uncultured bacterium. RNAcentral describes it as "partial 16S ribosomal RNA". It matches the Rfam family "Bacterial small subunit ribosomal RNA", at positions 506 to 784 of the family's 1533-position model. The record is from RNAcentral.